CAGACUAGAGUGCAGUAGGGGAGACUGGAAUUCCUGGUGUAGCGGUGAAAUGCGCAGAUAUCAGGAGGAACACCGAUGGCGAAGGCAGGUCUCUGGGCUGUAACUGACGCUGAGGAGCGAAAGCAUGGGGAGCGAACAGGAUUAGAUACCCUGGUAGUCCAUGCCGUAAACGUUGGGCACUAGGUGUGGGGGACAUUCCACGUUUUCCGCGCCGUAGCUAACGCAUUAAGUGCCCCGCCUGGGGAGUACGGCCGCAAGGCUAAAACUCAAAGGAAUUGACGGGGGCCCGCACAAGCGGCGGAGCAUGCGGAUUAAUUCGAUGCAACGCGAAGAACCUUACCAAGGCUUGACAUGAACCGGUAAGACCUGGAAACAGGUCCCCCACUUGUGGCCGGUUUACAGGUGGUGCAUGGUUGUCGUCAGCUCGUGUCGUGAGAUGUUGGGUUAAGUCCCGCAACGAGCGCAACCCUCGUUCUAUGUUGCCAGCGGGUUAUGCCGGGGACUCAUAGGAGACUGCCGGGGUCAACUCGGAGGAAGGUGGGGACGACGUCAAAUCAUCAUGCCCCUUAUGUCUUGGGCUUCACGCAUGCUACAAUGGCCGGUACAAAGGGUUGCGAUACUGUGAGGUGGAGCUAAUCCCAAAAAGCCGGUCUCAGUUCGGAUUGAGGUCUGCAACUCGACCCCAUGAAGUUGGAGUCGCUAGUAAUCGCAGAUCAGCAACGCUGCGGUGAAUACGUUCCCGGGCCUUGUACACACCGCCCGUCAAGUCACGAAAGUUGGUAACACCCGAAGCCGGUGGCCUAACCC
RNAcentral lists this ribosomal RNA (807 nucleotides) under Arthrobacter citreus. Its description in RNAcentral is "bacterial SSU rRNA". It matches the Rfam family "Bacterial small subunit ribosomal RNA", at positions 637 to 1441 of the family's 1533-position model. The record is from RNAcentral. Lineage: Bacteria; Bacillati; Actinomycetota; Actinomycetes; Micrococcales; Micrococcaceae.